Malus domestica (apple) is the source of this 1157-nucleotide non-coding RNA. The record is from RefSeq and is a predicted model, not a curated record. Lineage: Eukaryota; Viridiplantae; Streptophyta; Magnoliopsida; Rosales; Rosaceae.
GCUUCAGCUAAAGGGUUACACACCAACAGGGGCCAGACGCCUUGCCUCUUCAACUCGCCUCUCCCUAUUCCGUUUGUUUUUGCUGCUGCCUAUCUGCGGGAGUUUAGCUUGGCCAAUUAAUUCAUAUGAUUCCAUGGUGAGGAAUAGCUUGACUUACUAUCUCAACUUGCGGCAUUGGUUAGGUGACACUCAACAAUUGUAUUUUCUUCCUACAUUUGCUUAUGGUGGAUUGUCCUGGUCCUGGUGGAUACACCUGCCGUUUUCCUUUUCACCAUGACCUCUACUACAAUCCCAUCACCUCCCUUUUCCUUUGCUUUUGACAUCGUUCUUUUUCUAUGUUCAGCUUUUGGAUUAAGAACUUCCCAGAAACCUCUGUUCGAGAUGAGGUAAUGAUUAAUUUGAUGUGUUAAUGGAAUUUCUUCUUAGCCUUUAUUUAAUGAAGUACGAAUAAGUUUCCUCUUUCUUUGGUUUUGUGUUUAUCUCUAUUUCUCUUCACAACCGACCAAUGUAGGAAGAUGUAAGUUACACUGCUUUUGAGCUUAUCUUUGUUAUGGCUCUCUUUGGUAUUUUCUCUAUCUUUUUUCAUAUUUGAGAUUGGGAAUAUGGUUGAGUUCUACUGGUUUUCCAUUCUCUCCUCACCCCAAAACCCUAGAAGAAAAAUAAACAAGAGAUGGCAUGUGUUUGACAUCUACCUGAUAUUGCCAUCCUGAUUCUAAGAUUGUUAUGUCUUUGUAAUUUUACAGCAAUCUCUGGUUUCUCUGUCACAAUUACAUUGAGAGGAACAGACUUUUAUGCAUAUUUCUUUUAAUUUUCCUUUUGUUGACUUGGUGCCACUAACCAAAGACAUUUGCAUUAAAAGGAAUAUGUGUUAUAUGCAACUUUAUAUAAUCAAUUUUAGAAAUUUAUUUGAAUGCAUGAUGAUUUGGUGUUCAAAUAAUUUAGUAUUCGGAACCGUAAACUGGCAAGAACCGAAUUGGAACCGGUGUAGACUGAACUGUAAAGUUUUAGUAAUAAAUUUAAAUGAAACCGCAUCAAACCGAACCGUUGAUAUUUUCCGAUUCCAGUUCUGGUUUAAGGGUGGAACCGCAUAGUGCCCAUCCCUAGCAUCAACCGUGACACUAGAUGGAAGUGUGACAAGGAUGGCAAUGAUGUCUAAC